UAAAUACUCCUGAGAGACCGAUAGUGAACUAGUACCGUGAGGGAAAGGUGAAAAGAACCGUGAAUAACGGAGUGAAAUAGAUCCUGAAACCAUACGCUUACAAGCGGUCGGAGCCCUUUCGUGGGGUGACGGCGUGCCUUUUGCAUAAUGAGCCUACGAGUUACUUUCACUGGCGAGGUUAAUCACGUUGACGUGAGCAGCCGGAGCGAAAGCGAGUCUGAAUAGGGCGCUUAGUCAGUGGGAGUAGACGCGAAACUUUGUGAUCUACCCAUGAGCAGGUUGAAGCUCCGAUAACACGGAGUGGAGGACCGAACCAGUUUACGUUGAAAAGUAUUUGGAUGACUUGUGGGUAGGGGUGAAAGGCCAAUCAAACUGAGAAAUAGCUCGUACUCCCCGAAAUGUUUUUAGGAACAGCCUCGGGGUUAAGUUUUAAGCAGGUAAAGCUACCGAUAGGACUAGGGGGAGUCAAAUCCUACCAAAUCCUGACGAACUCUGAAUGGCUUAAAAUAUACCCGGGAGUGAGGGUUGGGGUGCUAAGGUCCCAAUCCGAGAGGGAAAGAACCCAGACCAACAGCUAAGGUCCCAAAAUCUUUACUAAGUUGAACUAAGGAAGUCUGAUUGCAGUGACAGCCAGGAUGUUAGCUUGGAAGCAGCUAUUCAUUUAAAGAGUGCGUAACAGCUCACUGGUCGAGCGAGGCGGGCAUCGAUAAUAAACGGGCAUCAAGUAAAGUACCGAAGCUUUGGAUUAUAUUUAUAUACUGGUAGGGGAGCAUUCUGAUCUGCGGAGAAGGUGAAGCGACGAGCUUUGCUGGAGCGUUCAGAAAAGCAAAUGUAGGCAUGAGUAACGAUAAUGAGGGCGAGAAACCCUCACGCCGAAAGACUAAGGUUUCCUCAGCUAUGCUAAUCAACUGAGGGUUAGUCGGGGGCUAAGGGUCUAGCGAAGGCGACAACCUAAUGCACAACAGGUUAAUAUUCCUGUACUUACUUAUAGGGCAAAUAGAUGACGGAGACUACAGGUUACCAGAUACUGACGGAAUAGUGUCUUUGAGAGGCGGCAGCAAUGCCAAAACGAGUGUAGUGAGUAAACUUCCAAGAAAAGUCUAGGCGUGUAUAACUAAUAAGUAACCCGUACCGUAAACCGACACAGGUGGUCGAGAAGAAUAUUCUAAGGCGCUCGAGUGAAUCACGGCUAAGGAACUCGGCAAAUUAACCCUGUAACUUCGGGAUAAAGGGAGCCACGAGCAAUCGUGGCCGCAGAGAAAUGGCCCAGGCGACUGUUUAACAAAAACACAUGGCUUUGCUAAAUCGAAAGAUGACGUAUAAGGCCUGACACCUGCCCGGUGCUGGAAGGUUAAGGGGGGAUGUUAGUGGCAACACGAAGCAUUGAACUGAAGCCCCAGUAAACGGCGGCCGUAACUAUAACGGUCCUAAGGUAGCGAAAUUCCUUGUCGGGUAAGUUCCGACCUGCACGAAUGGUGUAACGAUCUGGGCACUGUCUCAGCCAUGAGCUCGGUGAAAUUGUAGUAUCGGUGAAGAUGCCGAUUACCCGCAGUGGGACGAAAAGACCCCGUGAACCUUUACUAUAGCUUAGUAUUGGCUUUGGAUAAGUAAUGUGUAGGAUAGGUGGGAGACUUUGAAGUGGCGUCGCUAGGCGUUGUGGAGUCAUUGUUGAAAUACCACCCUUUGCUUAUCUGAGGUCUAACCCCAUACUGUGGGGGACAUUGCUUGGUGGGUAGUUUGACUGGGGUGGUCGCCUCCAAAAGAGUAA
This 1768-nucleotide ribosomal RNA is filed under the name marine metagenome. RNAcentral describes it as "bacterial LSU rRNA". It matches the Rfam family "Bacterial large subunit ribosomal RNA", at positions 467 to 2300 of the family's 2925-position model. The record is from RNAcentral.